GAGGAAUAUUGGUCAAUGGGGGCAACCCUGAACCAGCGACGCCGCGUGAAGGAUGACAGGGCUUUGCCCCGUAAACUUCUGUCGGGAGGGAAAAAAGGACUGUUUGGCGGUCUGGGAUUGUACCUCUAAAGGAAGCACCGGCUAACUACGUGCCAGCAGCCGCGGUAAUACGUAGGGUGCAAACGUUGUCCGGAAUUACUGGGUGUAAAGGGUGCACAGGCGGUUUUGUGCGUCAGAGGUAAAAUCCCACAGCUCAACUGUGGACCUGCCUUUGAUACGGCAAGACUUGAGUACAAGAGAGGAUGAUAGAAUUCCUGGUGUAGCGGUGAAAUGCGUAGAUAUCAGGAGGAAUACCAGUGGCGAAGGCGGUCAUCUGGCUUGUAACUGACGCUUAAGCACGAAAGCAUGGGUAGCGAACA
Molecule: ribosomal RNA, 419 nt
Filed under: uncultured bacterium
Lineage: Bacteria
Description: bacterial SSU rRNA
Rfam family: Bacterial small subunit ribosomal RNA
Source: RNAcentral